Molecule: transfer RNA, 85 nt
Filed under: Sutterella sp.
Lineage: Bacteria; Pseudomonadati; Pseudomonadota; Betaproteobacteria; Burkholderiales; Sutterellaceae
Also listed under: 2 other names
Description: tRNA-Leu
Rfam family: tRNA
About the family: Transfer RNA (tRNA) molecules are approximately 80 nucleotides in length.
Source: RNAcentral
GCGGCCGUGGCGAAAUUGGUAGACGCACCACUUUGAGGGGGUGGCGGAGCAAUCCAUAUGAGUUCGACUCUCAUCGGCCGCACCA